AUGGUUUGCGGGAAAACUCUUCUCUCUCUGGUCUCACUACGAGUCCUUCUAGAAGUAAAUAAAGUAAAUGCUUAUUCAACUACGGCACUGUCGGACAACCGACCGGAUUCAAGCCCUAGCCCCUCAACUCGGACGGACUUGUGGAAAUCCUCGAAAACAAGUAUUGCUCAACUCACCUAUCUAUAA
Molecule: ribosomal RNA, 186 nt
Filed under: Triticum aestivum (bread wheat)
Lineage: Eukaryota; Viridiplantae; Streptophyta; Magnoliopsida; Poales; Poaceae
Description: partial small subunit ribosomal RNA
Source: RNAcentral